CGCGGGAUGGAGCAGUCUGGUAGCUCGUCAGGCUCAUAACCUGAAGGUCAUAGGUUCAAAUCCUAUUCCCGCAACCA
Molecule: transfer RNA, 77 nt
Filed under: Alphaproteobacteria bacterium
Lineage: Bacteria; Pseudomonadati; Pseudomonadota; Alphaproteobacteria
Also listed under: 2 other names
Description: tRNA-Met
Rfam family: tRNA
About the family: Transfer RNA (tRNA) molecules are approximately 80 nucleotides in length. Their secondary structure includes four short double-helical elements and three loops (D, anti-codon, and T loops).
Source: RNAcentral